CAAAGGAGGAGCAAAGUCAUGUCUUACAUGGCAGCAGGACAUUUUUAAAGAUUGGAAUGAUCUCGUUCUUGAAACCUAGGUGGGAUACGAUCAUUUACCAGACUCUAUGUUGAAGAUGCCUGGACUAACCUACUGAAGAUACGUGGUUUUACCAACAGCCAGCACCAAUAGGAAGAUAUGAAUGAAGCCAUCUGAGACCAGCCAUCUGGCAGCCAAACUGCCAACUGACUGCAAAUGCAUGAAUGAUCCCACUGACACCACGUAGAGCACAAAUGAGUUGCCUCCACUGAGCCCAGCCCAAAUUGUUAUCCUAUAAAAUCAUAAAAACAUAAACAGUUGUUUUAAGUCACUAAGUUUUGGAUAGUUUGUUAUACAACAAAAGCUAGCUGAAACAAAUGUAUUAGCUAGAGCAGCUGUGAAUGGCACUAUUUGCUUAGUUGAUUGGCUGAAAUUUGGACUCACUGGUAGGUUACAUUUAAUGGUGUUGAGUUGCCAGAAUUUCUCUGGAAUAAUGUAUAGGAAGGAUUCUAAUGGCCUAAGCCAUUAGAAUCUCUAAGGAGAUAGAAAUAAAGGAGUGAUUUAUUAUAUGUAACUGUGCCUCUUCCCUCACCACACUUGGUCCUGAAAGAGCCUAAGGAAUAGUUUCUUCUCUAAAGCAUUGAAAAAUGCUUUAAUGGGAGAAGCCCCAGCACCCUUGAACAUGUUCAGGCAGCUGCUUUCUAUAGGCCAAGGAUGUGGUGGGAAAAUCUGCCUGAUCUCAAUGUAGAUGAUGAGAUCCCAGAGUAGCGAUCAGCAUUUUUUACCAGCAGGAAUAAUCUUUGGUGGUGGUUGGCUCUAAGAAUUAAAUAGAUGUGGGCCGGGCGUGGUGGCUCAUGCUUGAAAUCCCAGCACUUUGGGAGGCUGAGGUGGGUGGA
RNAcentral lists this long non-coding RNA (914 nucleotides) under Homo sapiens (human). RNAcentral's name for it is "HSALNT0351019". The record is from RNAcentral. Lineage: Eukaryota; Metazoa; Chordata; Mammalia; Primates; Hominidae.